This is a regulatory RNA element of Vagococcus penaei, 73 nucleotides long. NCBI's taxonomy places the organism in Bacteria, Bacillati, Bacillota, Bacilli, Lactobacillales, Enterococcaceae. The record is from Rfam.
CCACAGCUACAACCGCUCGAAUUAAGUUAUUAAGUACGUUAUGUCGCUUAUGCCGGCGAGUCUAAGUAAAGAA